GAGCUGGGUUUAGAACGUCGUGAGACAGUUCGGUCCCUAUCUGCCGUGGGCGCUGGAGAACUGAGGGGGGCUGCUCCUAGUACGAGAGGACCGGAGUGGACGCAUCACUGGUGUUCGGGUUGUCAUGCCAAUGGCACUGCCCGGUAGCUAAAUGCGGAAGAGAUAAGUGCUGAAAGCAUCUAAGCACGAAACUUGCCCCGAGAUGAGUUCUCCCUGACUCCUUGAGAGUCCUGAAGGAACGUUGAAGACGACGACGUUGAUAGGCCGGGUGUGUAAGCGCAGCGAUGCGUUGAGCUAACCGGUACUAAUGAACCGUGAGGCUUAACCUU
This 329-nucleotide ribosomal RNA is filed under the name Escherichia coli. RNAcentral's name for it is "partial 23S ribosomal RNA". It matches the Rfam family "Bacterial large subunit ribosomal RNA", at positions 2602 to 2925 of the family's 2925-position model. RNAcentral also lists the same sequence under 1 other name. The record is from RNAcentral. Lineage: Bacteria; Pseudomonadati; Pseudomonadota; Gammaproteobacteria; Enterobacterales; Enterobacteriaceae.